RNAcentral lists this ribosomal RNA (440 nucleotides) under uncultured bacterium. RNAcentral describes it as "partial 16S ribosomal RNA". It matches the Rfam family "Bacterial small subunit ribosomal RNA", at positions 338 to 795 of the family's 1533-position model. The record is from RNAcentral.
CCUACGGGUGGCAGCAGUGGGGGAUAUUGCACAAUGGGGGAAACCCUGAUGCAGCGACGCCGCGUGUGGGAAGACGGUCCUCUGGAUUGUAAACCACAGUAGCCAGGGAGGAAGAUGACGGUACCUGGGGAGGAAGCUCCGGCUAACUACGUGCCAGCAGCCGCGGUAAUACGUAGGGAGCGAGCGUUGUCCGGAAUUACUGGGUGAAAAGGGAGGGGAGGCGGGGAUGCAAGUUUGGGGUAAAAACUACCGGCUCAACUGGGAGUCGCACUGAAAACUGCAGCUCUUGAGUGAAGUAGAGGCAGGCGGAAUUCCUAGUGUAGCGGUGAAAUGCGUAGAUAUUAGGAGGAACACCAGUGGCGAAGGCGGCCUGCUGGGCUUUUACUGACGCUGAGGCUCGAAAGUGUGGGGAGCAAACAGGAUUAGAUACCCGAGUAGUC